RNAcentral lists this ribosomal RNA (497 nucleotides) under uncultured bacterium. RNAcentral's name for it is "partial 16S ribosomal RNA". It matches the Rfam family "Bacterial small subunit ribosomal RNA", at positions 28 to 507 of the family's 1533-position model. The record is from RNAcentral.
GAUGAACGCUGGCGGCGUGCCUAAUACAUGCAAGUCGAGCGAACAGACGAUGAGCUUGCUCCUCUGACGUUAGCGGCGGACGGGCGAGUAACACGUGUAUAACCUACCUAUAUGACUGGGAUAACUUCGGGAAACCGGAUCUUAUACCGGAUAAUAUAUUGAACCGCAUGGUUCAAUAGUGAAAGACGGUUUUGCUGUCACUUAUAGAUGGAUCCGCGCCGCAUUAGCUAGUUGGUAAGUUAACGGGCUACCAAGGCAACGAUGCGUAGCCGAACUGAGAGGGUGAUCGGCCGCCCUGGAACUGAGACACGGUCCAGAGUCCUACGGGAGGCAGCAGUAGGGAAUCUUCCGCAACGGUCGAAAGCCUGACGCAGCAACGCCGAGUGAGUGAUGAAGGUCUUGGGAUCGUAAAGCCCUGUUAUUAGGUAAGAACAAAUGUGGCAGUAACUAUGCACGUCUUGACGGUACCUAAUCAGAAAGCCCCGGCUAACUACGUG